RNAcentral lists this ribosomal RNA (486 nucleotides) under uncultured bacterium. Its description in RNAcentral is "bacterial SSU rRNA". It matches the Rfam family "Bacterial small subunit ribosomal RNA", at positions 40 to 518 of the family's 1533-position model. The record is from RNAcentral.
CGACAGGCUAACACAUGCAAGUCGAGGGGCGAGCAUAAAAGUAGCAAUACUUGGUCGGCGACCGGCGCACGGGUGAGUAACGCGUAUGCAACCUACCUAUCAGAGGGGAAUAACCCGGCGAAAGUCGGACUAAUACCGCAUAAAACAGGGGCACCGCAUGGUGAUAUUUGUUAAGAAAUUCGCUGAUAGAUGGGCAUGCGUUCCAUUAGGUAGUUGGUGAGGUAACGGCUCACCAAGCCGACGAUGGAUAGGGGAACUGAGAGGUUGGUCCCCCACACUGGUACUGAGACACGGACCAGACUCCUACGGGAGGCAGCAGUGAGGAAUAUUGGUCAAUGGGCGGGAGCCUGAACCAGCCAAGUCGCCGUGAAGGAAGAAGGAUCUAUGGUUCGUAAACUUCUUUUGCAGGGGAAUAAAGUGCAGGACGUGUCCUGUUUUGUAUGUACCCUGAGAAUAAGGAUCGGCUAACUCCGUGCCAGCCGCCGC